GUGUCAGCCGCCGCGGUAAUACGGAGGGUCCGAGCGUUAUCCGGAAUCAUUGGGUUUAAAGGGUCCGUAGGCGGGCCUGUAAGUCAGGGGUGAAAGUUUGUGGCUCAACCAUAAAAUUGCCUUUGAUACUGCAGGUCUUGAGUCAUGGUGGGGUUGCCGGAACAUGUGGUGUAGCGGUGAAAUGCAUAGAUAUCACAUAGAACACCGAUCGCGAAGGCAGGUGACCAACCAUGUACUGACGCUGAUGGACGAAAGCGUGGGUAGCGAACGGGAUUAGAUACCCCGGUAGUCCACGCCGUAAACGAUGGAUACUAGCUGUGGGGUUUUCGGACUCCGUGGCCAAGCGAAAGUGAUAAGUAUCCCACCUGGGGAGUACGUUCGCAAGAAUGAAACUCAAAGGAAUUGACGGGG
Molecule: ribosomal RNA, 411 nt
Filed under: uncultured prokaryote
Description: bacterial SSU rRNA
Rfam family: Bacterial small subunit ribosomal RNA
Source: RNAcentral